CAGCAGUCAAGAAUAUUAGUCAAUGCUCGCAAGAGUGAACUAGCUAACUGAAAUCUUAAUUUUUUUUUUAAUAUUAAGAUAAGGUAAGAGAAAAUAAUGAUAUUAUCUUACUAUUAGUGUCGUCUAAAUUUGGUGCCAGAAGACUCGGUAAGACCUUAGACACAAACGUUAAUCGUCAUAAUCAGGCGUAAAGGGUGUGUAGGCGGCUUUAAAAUAUUUAUUUUUUUUUUAAUAAAUAUUUAAAUUAAAGCUAGAAUCUAAAAGAGGGUAAGCUAAACAACAUAAUUAAUUAGGACUGACAACUUAUAAUAAUGUGGAGUACUAAAGGUUAAAGCUAUUUAUCUACUUAAGAUUGACGCUCAGAAACGAAGGGGAGAAUAAGAAACUUAGAUUAGAGACCUAAUUAUCUCUCUCAGUCAACGAUGAAUGGUAGUUAUUAAAAAUACAAAUAUAAUUAUAAUUAUAUAGAUAUUAGUAACGAGGUUAACACGAUGACCAUUCCGCCUUGUUAGUAAGACUGCAAAGUUGAAAACAAAAAAAUUAGUCGGUCUUGAAGCAAACGAAGUGAAGCAUGUUAUUUAAUUCGAUAAUCCGCA
Molecule: ribosomal RNA, 596 nt
Filed under: Octaviania nonae
Lineage: Eukaryota; Fungi; Basidiomycota; Agaricomycetes; Boletales; Boletaceae
Description: partial small subunit ribosomal RNA
Rfam family: Bacterial small subunit ribosomal RNA
Source: RNAcentral